Lycium ferocissimum is the source of this 1145-nucleotide long non-coding RNA. RefSeq lists it as uncharacterized. The record is from RefSeq and is a predicted model, not a curated record. The transcript is spliced from 2 exons. Lineage: Eukaryota; Viridiplantae; Streptophyta; Magnoliopsida; Solanales; Solanaceae.
GAAUUUAGAGCUUAUUAUCUUUUCACGUAUGCUAUUCCCUCUUUUUGAUUUAAUAGAAUAUUCUAUUGUAGAUAGAAUUUCAUUCUCAUCUAAAUUUAGGAGUACAUGAUUUAUAAGUACUCCCUCCGUCUCAAAAUAUUUGUCGUCCUUUCUAAAAAUACCUGUCUCAAAAUAUUUAUCGUUUCAUUUAACUAAGAUAGAUUAAGUAGCUUUUUCCUAUUUUACCCUUAUAUUAAUUAGCAAUAUUUAGGAGAUUCUCAUCGUUGAUGGAGUAACAUUUAUUGAGGAGAGAUUACAUGAUAAAAUAUGUUAAGGGUAAAAAAGUCAAAAUACUACCCUUAUAAAUGCUUUCUUAAUGAGCGUGCAAAUGAAAAAUGAUAACAAAUAUUUUGAGACGGUGGGAGUAUUGUUUAAGUUGGAUUCUUCGGAGCUUUAAAUUUCGGCUUUCGGGAUCAUAGUCAUUCACGAUUGCCUCUUGCAUGACAAAACACAUAAAAAAGGAAAACGUAAGAAUCUUUCAAUCCCGUUCUAAUAUUAUUGUUAGAGUAUAUAAUAUAAAUAUUGUAUAUUAUUGGCAAAGGCGGAUUCAUGAUUGGAACUUUAUAAAUUUUAAUUCUACCACUUCUCGUCUAAUUUACUUAUUUUAAAUCGAUAUUUUGUACUUGUUUAGUGGAAACUUUAGCACAAGUAAAUGACCUAAACCAAAAUUAUUGAGUUCACAUGAAUACUUAGCUCCUUUACUAAAUCUGACCAUUAUUAUUCUUAGCUUAAUAAGCUUGUCGAAAUUAAGAAUAAUAUCGAGACAAAUGAAUGUAGUUUUCUGCAUGUCGUUCUUCAUCCCUGUUAUAAAUAGCCCUAACUAGCUUUGGAGCCCUUGGCACAUCCUUUUGGCAUGUUUUCUCCACUUUACUUCUUAACCAAUUAUCAUAAUUAUUUACUAUAUAUCUUUCUUGUGUUGUUAGAAUAUUAAAAAGUAUUACUACUAUACUACUAUGUUCUUAAAUAAAAGUAAGCCUUAUCUAGUUUUUUCUGUAAUUAAAAUGAGACAAUUUCUUACAGGAAUUUGCAUAUAUGGUAUGCAACACGAUUUUUUCAGUAGUAUCAAUGGUACGGCUGAAAUGUCUUAAUUUUACCCCUUAAGGGAA